Molecule: long non-coding RNA, 3599 nt
Filed under: Bemisia tabaci
Lineage: Eukaryota; Metazoa; Arthropoda; Insecta; Hemiptera; Aleyrodidae
Description: lncRNA ENSSSA3NGG000403
Source: RNAcentral
UUCCUUAAUAAACAAGUUUGUUUAAAAAUUGUGUUUCCAUUUAUAGUAUCUUGAAUGUACGUGUUGCAUAUUCACAAAUUGAAGGCGCUUCCGCUUCACAAAGACUAGACUGAGUUGAUUGUAGCGCCUUGAUGCAACUAUUCGUGUUCCACGGAUGUGCGUGUUGCAUGUUCAAAAUAGGCCAGUCUACACCCGGAGGAAUUGAGCUUAAAAGUAUUGAUUAAGGGGUAAAACUAGACGAGAAACUCAUUGGAAUACUCGGUUUUGUCCGAAAGAAACUCCUUUUUGGUGAAAAACAGCAUUAAAGUUGGCGAAUUUUCGAGUUUCGCGCCCGCGGUUGUGACGUCAUAAUGUAGAAAUUCGCGCGCGCCCUCCCUGGUUGUUUCCUGUACCCGCGGCCCGGCGGCCCGGCGGCCGGUUGCGGAAUACGGAUGUAAACAAACAGUAUAACCCCAUUGAUUCUGUGCAUGGAUGCAUUGAAUAUCGAUAAUGAAACUUUCGAACGACAUUAUCUCGUUAAUGGUGAUAAAGAAUAUUCGCUCUUGUUUUACAUUCUAAAGAAGAAGUAAUCAACAUCAUUCCGUGAAGUCAUUUCAGAAUUUGCUUCGCACAAAGAAGAAAUGUUGUGAAACUGCACCGUAGCAAGAUAAUAGAAGAAAAUGCCCAGAAAAUGCCUGAGAGAUGGCUUCACUGCUGCGGACGGUCGAAAUUUACCAGUGGUCGACAGCGAAAUGCUGGGGCAAUUUUUUUUUAAUGGCCAAUUUUUAAGUCCAGAGAUGAAGAACUGGAAAACUUUAAGAUCCAUGAGGAAAGAAUAUGGAGAUAAUGCGAUCGGCUACGUGCAAUUAAAGAGGGAAGGUACUCUUUGUGAACUUUGGGCCGACAUAACACCCGAAAUGAGUGUAGGCAGACCUGCUUAUACCCUGCACUGCAUUAUUGAUGAAAAAGAAGAGGAAGAAAAAAGGAAGAAGAAGAAGAAGAUGCCGAAGGAACAGAUAAAGAUGGAGAAGAUGAAGAAGCAGAGGAAAAUGGAAAAGAUGAAGGAGGCAGAAGAAUUGUUGAAGCGCGGUGCAUGGGCUGCCCUGCUCAGCUAGGUAGGUUGCGAAAACUUUACCUUGUAACAUCUUGCAGGCACCUUAUAGUCCAUGAAUUUUUAAGGGUACAUUUUAGUCUCGUUGGAAAUUUAUAAUAUUCAGUAAUUUCUAGACUCUAUAAAACAUCCUGAUAUCAGAGAAUGAAAAGUAGAAGUGAAAUGGAAGCAUAACAUAGUAGAAAAAUAUGGCUUUUAAGUCUGUCUAAGGAAAAGACUCACUGGUUGAAUAUUUUCACCUGGUUUGAACAUUGAUUACUCUCUUGCAGGUGUUUAAUCCUGGUGGAAUGGCGUGGAUUGAGUAUUUAGGGAGGGAAGCCUAGAGAGAGGGGACGUAUAAAUGGAAAUAGAGAAUCAAAAAUGUCAAGGACUUUUCCUAAAAUCAACUGCACUCAAUUGACGAUGAACAUUUGGGCUCUCUUUUGAACUGUAAUAGAAAUCAGGUUUUACUAAUACUUAGAACAAGAGAAAAACACUAUAAAAAGUGUGGGCCUAAUACUGUGAGUAAAAAGAUGGUAGAUUAGUGCUGGGUCCAAACUAUUCUGCAGAGAAAUCAAGGCCAAAAAUAAGCAUUGCAGAAAAAAAUUUCUGAGAAUUUUUGACCUUAAUUUCCCUGCAGAGUAGUGUGGACAGCACUGUUCUAUCAUCUUGAUACUAAAACUUAAAAUAUAUAAUGAAAUUGUUUAAUCCGACACUCAGUUAGUUUUAACAUUUUUGCUUUAUUUCAUUAAUUUUUCAUUUUGCAAAAAAGAAAUCAGUGAAAAUCGAUGAUUCUACUUUCAAAAUUUAGCUUGACAUUUUCCAAUUUUCUAUACCUUCUUUUGUCCACAACUUUUCAUCUCCUAGAAAUGUAUGUGCACAAUACAAUGCUUUUCAACAUUGUGAAAUGGGUGAAUCAUUAUUAAUAAAAUAUAUUUUGCAGGUGGUUGUAAACAUGCCAUUGCUUUCGUUGCAUGGCUGGUAGAGCUUGAGGGCUCCAGGCAAGAAAAUAGAGGACAUGAUCGGUCAGCAGUGCCAAGGUUUAAACAUGACUAUAAAUAUAUGGAUACACAUAAGAAUCGAAAUAAUUCAUAGCAUCAUCAAUCUUUGUAUUAAUAUAAUGGUCAUCCAAGCAAACUUCCAAAUUGUGACUUCUUUGUUUUUUCAAAAGCUGGAUCUGCUACACAGAACAAUCUUUUUCUUUUACUACACUGUAACAUUUGUAGGGUGAUCUGAGCAAGAUACUUUUUAGAGGGCUGCUUAAAAUCUUUGGUAAAAUAAGAAGGAAACGUUUUUUUAGAUGCAGGACACUUAACUUCAACAACGUAUUAUCCCAUUAUAGCAUCAGGAGAAGCUCCAAUGAUAGGUCGGAUUUUUGCAAGACAAACCCAAUUUUGGUUCUCUUCAAUUUCUUUUUCUUGCUCACAACUUGUAAAACCUGAGACUCCAAUUUCUUCCCUCUUUUGAUUUCCCUUGUAUCUUUGACUUUCACAAUUCCUAAUGUAGAAUGCAAAGUACUACCAUCACUUGUUUUGCACCUAGAUUGUUCAUGAAUUUUUGAAGCAGUAAUUCUUCCGAAACGUAGAUCAUACCACAAAGAUGACGUUGACUGGUUUUUGGUGGCUCUGGCUAAUGCAGCACAUUGCCUAUCAGUCAUGUUGGAAGAAACAAAUUCAGCAAAAUUUUUGGCACUAUGCUCAGAUAAAGGAAUUUUUUCUUUGUACUCUAUCAUUUGGUGGAAAAGCGACAAGGAAGUUUUAGGAGCUAAAUGCUCUACUAGAACGAAGUUUUUUUACUGAAUAACUGAGAUACUUCCUUGAAAAACUCGCUUUUCCUUGCCACUGGUACUGAUGAUGACAGCUGAGGUUUUAGAUCCUUUGCCUUAAAGAUUGUUCCAUCCUUGACAUGCGCAAGGGCUGACUUUGCCCAAUAGCACUUUUGAGACGUUGGAGAAAUUUCAUGAGACUGUCUCUCCAGCCAUGCAACGAAAGCAAUGGCAUGUUUACAACCACCUGCAAAAUAUAUUUUAUUAAUAAUGCUUUUCAACAUUGUGAAAUGGGUGAAUCAUUAUUAAUAAAAUAUAUUUUGCAGGUGGUUGUAAACAUGCCAUUGCUUUCGUUGCAUGGCUGGAGAGACAGUCUCAUGAAAUUUCUCCAACGUCUCAAAAGUGCUAUUGGGCAAAGUCAGCCCUUGCGCAUGUCAAGGAUGGAACAAUCUUUAAGGCAAAGGAUCUAAAACCUCAGCUGUCAUCAUCAGUACCAGUGGCAAGGAAAAGCGAGUUUUUCAAGGAAGUAUCUCAGUUAUUCAGUAAAAAAAACUUCGUUCUAGUAGAGCAUUUAGCUCCUAAAACUUCCUUGUCGCUUUUCCACCAAAUGAUAGAGUACAAAGAAAAAUUCCUUUAUCUGAGCAUAGUGCCAAAAAUUUUGCUGAAUUUGUUUCUUCCAACAUGACUGAUAGGCAAUGUGCUGCAUUAGCCAGAGCCACCAAAAACCAUCAACGUCAUCUUUGUGGUAUGAUCUACGUUUCGGAA